This is a long non-coding RNA of Sinocyclocheilus grahami, 447 nucleotides long. RefSeq lists it as uncharacterized. The transcript has 3 exons. The record is from RefSeq and is a predicted model, not a curated record. NCBI's taxonomy places the organism in Eukaryota, Metazoa, Chordata, Actinopteri, Cypriniformes, Cyprinidae.
UGAUUAGGUAUGAGAUUGUGCUGAAACAGUCUGUUGGGACUGAAGAUUUGUUUCUUGGCUUGAGCAGAAAGGAUCCCUCAUCCAUGUGUUGUGACAGCAUGCUGGUAAGAGUUAAACUGCCAGAUACAAAAGCGUCUGAUUUGGUGCUGGAUGUAAGGGAGACAUUUCUUGAUCUCAGAACUCCAAAGUAUAAGUUGGGUCUUCACCUGCCUCACCCAGUGCACAAACAGGAGGGGAAUGCCAGAUUCAUUGUGGAGAGAGAAGAACUGGAGAUUACACUGCCCAUGAACAGACCAAUGGACUGCAUCAACCUGACCUGAGAGAAACACAGAGAGAGUGACUGAACCAUGAGCUGCAUCAGUUCAGAACAGACAGUGCUGACAACUUCUACAGAUACAGUUCUGCAGCCUUCCACUGACAGUCUUGAAUUCAACCCGGAAACAUGAA